RNAcentral lists this ribosomal RNA (135 nucleotides) under uncultured Trebouxiophyceae. RNAcentral's name for it is "partial small subunit ribosomal RNA". It matches the Rfam family "Eukaryotic small subunit ribosomal RNA", at positions 1670 to 1804 of the family's 1831-position model. The record is from RNAcentral. Lineage: Eukaryota; Viridiplantae; Chlorophyta; Trebouxiophyceae.
CGCCCGUCGCUCCUACCGAUUGGGUGUGCUGGUGAAGCGUUCGGAUUGGCGACUUCGACGGGCAACCGCCGUCGUCGCCGAGAAGUUCUCUAAACCCUCCCACCUAGAGGAAGGAGAAGUCGUAACAAGGUCUCC